UUAAAUUGAAGAGUUUGAUCAUGGCUCAGAUUGAACGCUGGCGGCAGGCCUAACACAUGCAAGUCGAACGGUAGCACAGAGAGCUUGCUCUCGGGUG
Molecule: ribosomal RNA, 97 nt
Filed under: Salmonella enterica
Lineage: Bacteria; Pseudomonadati; Pseudomonadota; Gammaproteobacteria; Enterobacterales; Enterobacteriaceae
Also listed under: 1 other name
Description: partial 16S ribosomal RNA
Rfam family: Bacterial small subunit ribosomal RNA
Source: RNAcentral